Molecule: ribosomal RNA, 514 nt
Filed under: uncultured archaeon
Lineage: Archaea
Description: bacterial SSU rRNA
Rfam family: Archaeal small subunit ribosomal RNA
Source: RNAcentral
AAACUUUACUAUGCGCGAAAGCGUGAUAAGGGAAUCCGCAGUGCUUGGCCUUCGGGUCAAGCUUUUGUCGAGUCUAAGAAUCUCGGCGAAUAAGGGGUGGGUAAGACGGGUGCCAGCCGCCGCGGUAAUACCCGCGCCCCAAGUGGAGUUCACAUUUAUUGGGUCUAAAGCGUUCGUAGCCGGGCGAGAAAAUCUUUUGUGAAAUCGUUGCGCUUAACGCAACGGCGUGCAGAAGAGACUGCUCGUCUUGAAACCGGGAAGAGGGAGGAGUACUCGAGGGGAAGCGGUAAAAUGUGAUAAUCCUUCGAGGACUACCAGUGGCGAAGGCGCCUCUCUAGAACGGGUUUGUCGGUGAGGGACGAAGGCUAGGGGAGCAAAACGGAUUAGAUACCCGAGUAGUCCUAGCAGUAAACGCUGUGAGCUGUGUGUUGCAUCAUCCUAGAGAUGAUGCAGUGCCUAAGUGAAGACGUUAAGCUCACCANCNGGGAAGUACGGCUGCAAGACUGAAACUUAA